GGAGAAAGUGAGUUGAGC
RNAcentral lists this non-coding RNA (18 nucleotides) under Mus musculus (house mouse). Lineage: Eukaryota; Metazoa; Chordata; Mammalia; Rodentia; Muridae. The record is from RNAcentral.